Molecule: non-coding RNA, 402 nt
Organism: Zootermopsis nevadensis
Lineage: Eukaryota; Metazoa; Arthropoda; Insecta; Blattodea; Termopsidae
Source: RefSeq, a predicted model, not a curated record
CUUUUCACAUAGUUUGCCCUCAGAGGCAAAGAAAAACAUAGUUUGCAGUUACCUCGGUUAUUGAUAAGAAUUGCUGCUCUUCACAAAUUUGCAUAAUGCCCGUCCGCCUAAAUGUUUCCCUGCUAAACUGAAACUACCAUUACUCUGAGACCAGCCAAGUCGGGGGUUCUGAAAGAUUUUUUCUCGGUUCACUUGACGAUGAUUUCUUUACUGCUACGUGACAAGACGUCGAAAGCCCACCAUCAUCCUACCUCAUCAUGACUACAUAGAUCAGACUACGGUCCUUUAUUUAUAGCAUUUCGACAAUCAGGCGACUGGAGUUCGGACUUCAUCGGUACCUGGCAACGGGCUGAACCCCACAUUAGAAAGGAAGGAUCAAACAGCCACACCAAUAUGAAACAG